This 367-nucleotide RNase MRP RNA is filed under the name Aspergillus sydowii CBS 593.65. Its description in RNAcentral is "RNase MRP". It matches the Rfam family "RNase MRP". From Rfam's summary of the family: RNase MRP is an enzymatically active ribonucleoprotein with two distinct roles in eukaryotes. In mitochondria it plays a direct role in the initiation of mitochondrial DNA replication. In the nucleus it is involved in precursor rRNA processing, where it cleaves the internal transcribed spacer 1 between 18S and 5.8S rRNAs. The record is from Rfam by way of RNAcentral. Lineage: Eukaryota; Fungi; Ascomycota; Eurotiomycetes; Eurotiales; Aspergillaceae.
UCCUCGCUCAAAGGAUCGCAUUCAAAGCUUACACACAGAGAAUUCCUUAAUUCUCUACUCUUCUCAUCUGAGAAGAGCCCGCUUUGGGAGAAAGUCCCCGGACACCCUGUCCUUUCUUUUUUACAAAGUCGGUCAGGCAUUGCGGAAACGCGCCGCCAUAAAAGCAAUUUGAUAGCGGCUUACUGCCCUAUUCCCUCCCGGUGCCGAGUCUGUGCCCGACGCCCUUUGGGGUGGAUACAAUGGUGGUGUGGACUGGUCUCGGAGAGGGGUUUAUUGGGUUGCCUUUCGUCGUGUUUGGAUAGUCAUGCGAUUGCUCGGUUCUAUGUUGGAACUGGGUAACUCAAUGGGGCUCAUUCUUGAGGCGAGG